GAUGAACGCUGGCGGCGUGCCUAAUACAUGCAAGUCGAGCGAACAGACGAGGAGCUUGCUCUUCUGACGUUACCGGCGGAUGGGUGAGUCACACGUGGAUUACCUUUCUAUAUGACUUGGCUUCCUUCGGGAAACCGGAGCUAAUAACGGAUAAUCUUUUGAACCGCAUGGUUCAAUAGUGAAAGACGGUUUUGCUGUCACUUCUAGAUGGAUCCGCGCCGCAUUAGCUAGUUGGUAAGGUAACGGCUUACCAAGGCAACGAUGCGUAGCCGACCUGAGAGGGUGAUCGGCCACACUGGAACUGAGACACGGUCCAGACUCCUACGGGAGGCAGCAGUAGGGAAUCUUCCGCAAUGGGCGAAAGCUUGACGGAGCAACGCCGCGUGAGUGAUGAAGGUCUUCGGAUCGGAAAACUCUGUUAUUAGGGAAGAACAAAUGUGUAAGUAACUAUGCACUUCUUGACGGUACCUAAUCAGAAAGCCACGGCUAACUACGUG
Molecule: ribosomal RNA, 497 nt
Filed under: uncultured bacterium
Lineage: Bacteria
Description: partial 16S ribosomal RNA
Rfam family: Bacterial small subunit ribosomal RNA
Source: RNAcentral